UAACGGUAACUUCUGCUCAAUGUUAAGACAUAAAUAAAUAGCCGCAGUACCCUGACUGUGCUAAGGUAGCAUAGUAAUUUGUCUUUUAAUUAAAGGCUGGUAUAAAUGAAGACACAACGAACAAGCUUUUUUUAAACGUACAAUUGAAAUUGAUAUUUACUUCAAAAAGAGUAACUUUCUAAGAAGACGAUAAGACCCUAUAAAACUUCACUCUAAAAAAAUUAAUUUUUACUUAGAAAAAAUUUUAAUCAAGGGUUAAGCUGGGGCGGCACUAAAUAAAACCUCUAAAAAAUUAACAUUAAUUCGCGAUAAUUUAGAUCUUUUUAAGAAUUAGAACAAGUUACUUUAGGGAUAACAGCACAAUUCUUUCGGAGAGAUCUUAUCGAAGAAAGAGACUUGUGACCUCGAUGUUGAAUUGGAGGGCCAGGGUUAAGUAAAAAUAUCCGCUGGGGGUCUGUUCGACCUUUAAUACUCC
This 475-nucleotide ribosomal RNA is filed under the name Eugerdella sp. VTDes023. RNAcentral's name for it is "partial 16S ribosomal RNA". It matches the Rfam family "Archaeal large subunit ribosomal RNA", at positions 1939 to 2666 of the family's 2987-position model. The record is from RNAcentral. Lineage: Eukaryota; Metazoa; Arthropoda; Malacostraca; Isopoda; Desmosomatidae.